RNAcentral lists this ribosomal RNA (466 nucleotides) under uncultured bacterium. Its description in RNAcentral is "partial 16S ribosomal RNA". It matches the Rfam family "Bacterial small subunit ribosomal RNA", at positions 28 to 507 of the family's 1533-position model. The record is from RNAcentral.
GAUGAACGCUGGCGGCGUGCUUAACACAUGCAAGUCGAACGAUGAAGCCCAGCUUGCUGGGUGGAUUAGUGGCGAACGGGUGAGUAACACGUGAGUAACCUGCCCUUAACUCUGGGAUAAGCCUGGGAAACUGGGUCUAAUACCGGAUAGGAGCGUCCACCGCAGGGUGGGUGUUGGAAAGAUUUAUCGGUUUUGGAUGGACUCGCGGCCUAUCAGCUUGUUGGUGAGGUAAUGGCUCACCAAGGCGACGACGGGUAGCCGGCCUGAGAGGGUGGCCGGCCACACUGGGACUGAGACACGGCCCAGACUCCUACGGGCGGCAGCAGUGGGGAAUAUUGCACAAUGGGCGCAAGCCUGAUGCAGCGACGCCGCGUGAGGGAUGACGGCCUUCGGGUUGUAAACCUCUUUCAGUAGGGAAGAAGCGAAAGUGACGGUACCUGCAGAAGAAGCACCGGCUAACUACGUG